AGCAGUCGCGGUAAUUCCAGCUCCAAUAGCGUAUAUUAAAGUUGUUGCAGUUAAAAAGCUCGUAGUUGAAUUUCGAGACCGGUUUACUGGUCGUGCUUUUGUACGUACUGGUAUUAUUGGUUUCUCCUUUCUGACGAAUCAUAAUGCCAUUAAUUUGGUGUUUUGGGGAAUCAGGACUGUUACUUUGAAAAAAUUAGAGUGUUUAAAGCAGGCUCACGCUUGAAUACAUUAGCAUGGAAUAACGAAAUAGGACGUUUGAUUUUAUUUUGUUGGUUUCUAGGAUCGACGUAAUGAUUAAUAGGGAUAGUUGGGGGCAUUAGUAUUCAAUUGUCAGAGGUGAAAUUCUUAGAUUUAUUGAAGACUAACUACUGCGAAAGCAUUUGCCAAGGAUGUUUUCAUUAAUCAAGAACGAAAGUUAGGGGAUCGAAGACGAUCAGAUACCGUCGUAGUCUUAACCAUAAACUAUGCCGACUAGGGAUCGGAUGAUGUUAAUUUUUAAUGACUCAUUCGGCGCCUUACG
This 520-nucleotide ribosomal RNA is filed under the name uncultured Glomus. Its description in RNAcentral is "SSU rRNA". It matches the Rfam family "Eukaryotic small subunit ribosomal RNA", at positions 569 to 1092 of the family's 1831-position model. Lineage: Eukaryota; Fungi; Glomeromycota; Glomeromycetes; Glomerales; Glomeraceae. The record is from RNAcentral.